UUGACCUUCUGACAACUGGUCAGGAGGAUCAUCUGAUUCCAGACCAUGGUUGAUAACAGAUAACUGCAGGUAACUGCAGGAAGGAAAGCACAGAGGAGCCUCAUCACAUGGAACUACAUCGCAGUUCAAGACGACCCCAUCUGAAAGAACUCUGUAUUACAUUCUAUCCAGAAGAACCAGAAAAAGAGUCUCUUGGAGCCAGACUAUGGAGAAAUCCUGAGAAUGGAGUUCCUUCUAUCCUUGUAACCUGAAAAAUGGUAAUUCUGCUUCCUUUGACCUACAGAUCCGUCAGGGAACAAUUAUAAGAUUUCAUGGACUAAAAGGUGAACUUUAAAUAGAGGCUGCAUGUUAUAGAGACACAAGAUUUAAGGCUCCUGAGAUCCUGCUACUAUGCUACACCACCAGGUCUAGAAUGAUUCUAUGACUCUCAUGUGAGAGGGAAAGAUAAUUUUUCUUGUUAAGCCACAGUUAUUCUGAGUUUUUUUCUGUCAUUUGCUGCUUUACCCAACUCAAGCUAUUAUAGAAAUUUAUGCUAAAAUGAAGGGCCAACAGAAGUCUCUAUGAGGGACAGAGGUUUUAGCUAAGAUGUCAAGGAUGAAAAGCAGCAGGACUAGAAAAUGCAAGAGGGGAAAAAAACAGUUCUGGCAUAAGGCAGUUUGCACUAACAUUUUGAGGCAGGAAAGAAUAUGUGAAAAGAACUGAAAGAAGGUCCAUGUGGCUGAUCAUUUGAGAAAGAAGUGGAGAGUGGUGUAAGGUAAGACUGUGGACAUAGGAAGGGGUCAAAUCACAAACGUGAAGAGUCUAGAUUUCUCUCUAACUAUAGCUAGAGGCCACUGAAGUAUUUUAAGCAAGGAAGUGUUUUGAUCCAAGUUCCCUUGGCAGCGGUAGAUGACUGCCCCCUAACACCUGAUUUCCACUGGCCUUCCAGCCUCCUCCUGUUGAUAUCACCUGAGCCCUCUAGGCGGUCCUCUUGAACAAGCUUCCUCCCAAGACACCUCAGGUCUGGCUCCCUUCCUCAGGACCCAUUUACUGUGUACCCACAACAGUGGUAGUAGUACAGCUCACUCCCUCCACAGCACUCUCUCUUUGCCUGCCACCACAAGCCAUGCCAGCCAACCUUUUGCCUUUAUAUUUGUCAGCACAAA
Molecule: long non-coding RNA, 1145 nt
Organism: Panthera uncia (snow leopard)
Lineage: Eukaryota; Metazoa; Chordata; Mammalia; Carnivora; Felidae
Exons: 4
Source: RefSeq, a predicted model, not a curated record